Molecule: long non-coding RNA, 373 nt
Filed under: Aplysia californica (California sea hare)
Lineage: Eukaryota; Metazoa; Mollusca; Gastropoda; Aplysiida; Aplysiidae
Description: uncharacterized LOC106014047, transcript variant X3
Source: RNAcentral
UCUGCUGCUCACACAUCUGCUGAACGUGCAUAAACGAUGUUUUCAUGCGUGCGUGCGUGCGGUAACAAUAGGUGACAGCUGCGUGACAAUGUUGUGCAAUGAAAAUAGGCAAGAGAUGCUCUAUCAGCAAAAACCUUUCAAUGCAGAACAGGUAAACGGCACACCGGGAAAAACUGUAAAAACCAAUCGAGACCAAUGUAAACAUCAUUUCAACUGUGUCAGUCGCGUUGUUUUCCAAUCCGAUCACGGGAGAUAAGUGAAUGUCUUGUCGAGUCAACCCGUUCACUCAUUCCUCGUGACAAUAAAUUUCACCACCCGCUUGUCAUGCUGAGGGAAGACAUCGGACACUGCAGGUAAUGUAUACAUUUCAUCA